RNAcentral lists this ribosomal RNA (488 nucleotides) under uncultured bacterium. Its description in RNAcentral is "partial 16S ribosomal RNA". It matches the Rfam family "Bacterial small subunit ribosomal RNA", at positions 30 to 506 of the family's 1533-position model. The record is from RNAcentral.
AUUGAACGCUGGCGGCAUGCCUUACACAUGCAAGUCGAACGGCAGCAUGAUCUAGCUUGCUAGAUUGAUGGCGAGUGGCGAACGGGUGAGUAAUACAUCGGAACGUGCCCUGUAGUGGGGGAUAACUAGUCGAAAGAUUAGCUAAUACCGCAUACGACCUGAGGGUGAAAGUGGGGGACCGCAAGGCCUCAUGCUAUAGGAGCGGCCGAUGUCUGAUUAGCUAGUUGGUGAGGUAAAGGCUCACCAAGGCGACGAUCAGUAGCUGGUCUGAGAGGACGAUCAGCCACAUGGGACUGAGACACGGCCCAGACUCCUACGGGAGGCAGCAGUGGGGAAUUUUGGACAAUGGGCGAAAGCCUGAUCCAGCAAUGCCGCGUGUGUGAAGAAGGCCUUCGGGUUGUAAAGCACUUUUGUCCGGAAAGAAAUGGCUCUGGUUAAUACCUGGGGUCGAUGACGGUACCGGAAGAAUAAGGACCGGCUAACUACGU